This is a long non-coding RNA of Numida meleagris (helmeted guineafowl), 3730 nucleotides long. RefSeq lists it as uncharacterized. The transcript has 2 exons. NCBI's taxonomy places the organism in Eukaryota, Metazoa, Chordata, Aves, Galliformes, Numididae. The record is from RefSeq and is a predicted model, not a curated record.
GGAGAAGGAGAGGUGCCGGAGACACGGCGAGGUGGGGAAAGUUGGAGGAGGGAGAAGAGGAGAGGUGGGGGCGAGGCGGCCGCCCCGACACUUACAGGCGUUGCACUCCGAGGGAAAGCCCGGUUAAAAUGAGAGACCCUCCGCAGCGUUGUCCCCAACCCCCGUGCACGGUGCGGUGGAGAAAGGGGAGAAACGGUGCUGUUCCCUGGCGACGGUAACCCUCACCCCACGGCGAGGGCACAGCUCAUCACCUGCCACAACAACCUGUGGCGAGGUGGGCUCGGCCUCUGCUCCCAGGUCACAGCGGUAGGACGAGACGUGAUGGCCUGAAGUUGCGCCAGGGGAGGUUCAGGUUGGAUGUUAGGAAACAUUUCUUCCCAGAAAGACCAGGGAUGCUGUCACUGUUGGACACCGGGGUGAGCAAAGACUCUGGUUGUGUGCAUCGUGUACGCAGGUAAUAAAGCAUUCUGAAUCCAGAAAGGUAGGCACACAAACAUUAGGAAGCAUUAAAAUUCAGAAUGUGUGUUCGCCCUUCAGCCGUGUCACCCAGGAGAAGAGCUGACGGAGUUGUCCUUUACCUACGCUGGUUGCCAGAUGGGAGCGAUGCACAUAUUUUGCAAAAGAGCUUCAGGAUUUGAUGACUGGAGUUCCUCUAUCGUGCACACCCGCAUUCUUUGUGUAAGGCUCUAGGUGCCCAUAAGUUUUGUGUUCAAACAAAACGUCAGCUACAACCUCAAUUCUUGUUCCUGCUACGUGCAAGUGCAAUACUGAGACCAUGAUGUGAGUUGAACCCAGAUGUCAUUGGCUUGGCCACUUGACAUCAAAUGACAUUCUGCUUUGCAGUGGCAGAACCACCGCAUCCUAAGAGAGGGAGACAAACUCCAUUUUCAAAAAUACAUUGAAUUAUUCAGCAAGGCAAAAAGAGCCAAGCUAAUAGCUCCCUCACCAACACUACAAAUUUUAGCCAAUUAGUCAUUACACCACAUCUGAGAAGUGGGUUAAUUUACCUCUUCUCAUUUUGCAUAGGAAGGAGGCAGAAGGGUUAGGGGACUGGCCCAAGGCCAUGAAGAGCAGUGCUCAGAGCUGAGCCUAGAAAGCAGACUUCUUGUUUCCCACGCCUACGUUUCAGCAACUAGACUUGGCUUGCCUACCUCAGAAAGUAGACUGGCAUAGCUAUAGCUGUGUAAUUACGCUGUUACCGUUACGCCGGAAUAACUCUCCUUGUGGACAUUCUCCUCCAGAUGGAAAGUGACUUCCCAAAAGCUGUCCAAAUGAAUUCACUCAACAGCAAACACUUCAUGUUUUUGCACUUUUUUUCACUGUGGGGUCAAAAUUCCCAAGAUGCAGGUCUCAGCAGCUUUCAAUAGCUCUUACAAGGCAUUGGAAAGCAUGGGUAAAUGUAAAAGGUGUCGCUGAAAUGCUGGGAGUUUUGUCAUCAAGAUUUUUAUGACGCUUUUCAUCAAAAUGUUGAAAGCUGAAAGCUUCCAGCUGGCUCUCCUUACAGGUAAUAAUUUAAUAACUAACAGCUUUUCUCCCAAAGCUGUUGGAACCGGCUUGAGUCAUGGAAGCUGAUGGGAAAAGCCAGACCCAUCCUCUACAGUAAUUAUUUCUGGUUUUAAUCCUGCUGCUCCAUAAGCUUUCAAAACCAAAUGAAGCUGUGAAAACAGGCAAGAGUGACCAAGGGAAAAGCAGGGGACAGGCACUAACCUGAAAGGGUUCACCCUUAAAAAUUAAUUUGUUAAGUGCAAAGACUGCAGAGAUGAGAGCAUCUUCACUACAGCAACAUGGGCAUAGGGUGAAUCACUGGUUUCAUUGCAAAAUUCAGCUCUGCCACAGCUCAGGGGCUGCAGUGAGAGCUCCAGUGAUUUCCAUCAACCACACGUUUGCUCCCAGAUUAUACUCUCUGGAGCAGCUGUAAUGACCUUGAGGAUCAAGUGGUGGUUUAGGGAUCAGGACACCAAUGUUCACAUCCAACCAUGGUCAGAUGUCCUCUGUGUGAUUUCAACCAAGUCAUUAUUCCUGUGCAUUUCAGUUCUGUUUUUAAAUUGCAGCAACAAAUGCAAUGAGAGGUUUUUCUUCAGCAGAAUAGUAGCCUGAAAGCAAUUCUCAGCUGUGCCACAGUCUUCUGACAUGCUAUAGAAGCUGCUUGGGCAAAUAUUUUAGAGAGCCAUUUCUGGAGCUCCUUUCCCCUCUGUUUCCAUCCACAAGAGCAAAGCAGCCCUCACACAGCCCUGCCUGCUCUAGACAGCUCUCUGCCACAACAGCCCAGCUACCCAGGGGACAGCCACCCAGUCCUGAGUCUUGUCAUGUCCCCAGGGUAAGCAUGGGCCUUAGUCCUCCCUUGCUGUGCUGGAGGCAACAGAGCUGCCCCAUUUAACAGAGAGGGUGGGAGGAGAAAUUAAUGCCUUAUAAUGCCUCAUCAAUAACAUGCUUCAGUAGGUCAGUGAUGGGCUCAGCCUGUUUUCAGCAGAGUAUUCAACUAUAUAUGCAUUUAACGUGUGUGUGUGUAUGCAUUCACAUACAUACAUUACUUUUCAAAACAGACAAAAAGGCUUUUUAUAUAAAUUCUGGUUUAAAUGAUCUGAUUCUCAUUUUUUGUGUGCUUUUAUAAGGUCAAAGUAUUCUAGGAGUUAGCUCCCCAAAAGCUUGUGUUAGGUAUUCACAUAAAUAAUAGCUUAUCAUAGCAAAAGCUCCAGGUUUAUUUAGAUUUAGCAAAUUAAAAAAGGCGUAUCUACCACCCUGCUGCCUCAGACAGCUAUGAACUGCACUGAGCCACGGACCCCCAGGUCAGCUUUCAUGCCUUUAGACUGAACCCUCUCUUUUCCAACCAAGAAGGGGUACUUUGAUGAGAAGUUGGAUCAAAUCCCAAUAUACUUUGAACAGGACAAAUGUAGACCUUUCUUUACUUAACUAUGUUGGGCAAUCUAAACCAUAUAAGCACUAAUCUAUUCAGUAUUCCAUCUCCUCCUCUUUACUACAAAAAGGCACUGUUUUAUGCUUAUGUGCACCAAUAAAGAGACCUAUAAAGAAAAUAAUGAACAUCCUUGAAUAUUUUCAGGCCAUACCCUAUUAAUUUUAAAAGCGACUCGACAUACUGCACCCCUUGUAUUUCAGCAAGAUAAAAGCCUAUAGAUUAAUUCCUAUUAAAACAGUUGGUAUUUUCAGGACAUGCAGAUGUAAUUUAUGGAGAGGCACAAUACUCAUAAUAGCUCAAAGGCCACAGAAACUGUAGAUCUGUGUCUGUUACUGUAGUUGUACAGGCAUUCAUUGUACAGAGAGCAGUUGAAAAGACGGAGUAUGUAAUCUGAAUACUAAAUUUGUGAAUAGUUUCUCACUUGGGCUGGUUAGGCUUUUCAAGAGCAGCGGAUGCUUUGUGGGAGACUUUGUAAGACAUUCUGCUAAUACAUCACAUGGUUGCUGUAUUUUCUUAUCGUUACUGUUAGAGCUUUAUUCAUUAACACACAGUAUUUGAUUCUUAGAAGGGCACUAGCUCCUGCUCUGUACUCUCCACCUGUAUUCAGUGUGCUUCGUGUGAGACAACUUCCACAACAAAUUCUGCUUCUUUCUAUCAAGUGAGCAACUUGAUGUAUAUAUAAACCAAAAGUGUGCAAGAAAUCAAGAUUUCUUCCCUCCCCAAGUACUCCAUUUGCUGUAUUCAAGUUACUUGGAAAAUAGUAUCGUAUUUUAUGUUUUAUUAUCAACAAUAAAAGUGUACAGGUUUUCUAUUUUA